UAAAAGCACGUGAAACCGUUGAAAGGGAAACGCGCUCGGCUAGCAAUGCGCGUCUGUGGUUCAGCCGGCUAGUCUUGUCGAGUUGCCGUUGUGUGGAUCCGAAUGGACUACCUGCGGUGGCGGCGGUGGGCGAGCUAUGGUGCACUCCACGGGCGUGCGCGUCAGCGUCGGUUCUCGACGGACGACAAGGUGCGUGGAAAAGGUAGCUCGGUCUUCGGACGGAGUGUUACAGAUCCGUGUGCUGGGUUCGUCGUGGGACCGAGGAGAGAGAUGAUCGCUGCGGCACCUGCCUCUCGGGGCUAGCCAGCUGUUGCCAGGUGUGCGCCAGAUGCUGAGGACUGCACGCAGUGCUCGGUGUUGAGGUGUGAUCUGGUGGUGGUGUGGGUAUAGAGGUGCCUAGGACGCUGGCGUCCAAAUGGCCGUGCGCGA
This 429-nucleotide ribosomal RNA is filed under the name Sycettusa hastifera. RNAcentral describes it as "partial large subunit ribosomal RNA". The record is from RNAcentral. Lineage: Eukaryota; Metazoa; Porifera; Calcarea; Leucosolenida; Heteropiidae.